RNAcentral lists this ribosomal RNA (484 nucleotides) under uncultured bacterium. Its description in RNAcentral is "partial 16S ribosomal RNA". It matches the Rfam family "Bacterial small subunit ribosomal RNA", at positions 30 to 507 of the family's 1533-position model. The record is from RNAcentral.
AUUGAACGCUGGCGGCAUGCCUUACACAUGCAAGUCGAGCGGUAGAAGGGCGUCUGCUCCUGACUUCAGGGGAGGACGGGUGUAUAAUGCCUAGAAAUGUGCCAGCGAGUGGGGGAUAACGUCGGGAACUGUGCGAUUACACCACACGCGUCCCGGGGGAGAGCGGGGGGGAUCAACGGCCCUCACGCUAGCAGCUGCGCCUAGGACGGAUUAGAUAGUUGGUGGGGUAAAGGCUUACCAAGGCGACGAUCUGUAGCUGGUCUGAGAGGAUGAUCAGCCACACUGGAACUGAGACACGGUCCAGACUCCUACGGGAGGCAGCAGUGGGGAAUUUUGGACAAUGGGCGAAAGCCUGAUCCAGCCAUGCCGCGUGUAGGAUGAAGGUCUUCGGAUUGUAAACUGCUUUUGGACGGAACGAAAAGCAGUAAUUUAAUACCGGACUGUCUUGACGGUACCGUAAGAAUAAGCACCGGCUAACUACGUG